Molecule: ribosomal RNA, 254 nt
Filed under: uncultured Geminicoccus sp.
Lineage: Bacteria; Pseudomonadati; Pseudomonadota; Alphaproteobacteria; Geminicoccales; Geminicoccaceae
Description: partial 16S ribosomal RNA
Rfam family: Bacterial small subunit ribosomal RNA
Source: RNAcentral
GACGGAGGGUGCUAGCGUUGUUCGGAAUCACUGGGCGUAAAGGGCGCGUAGGCGGCCCAUGCAGUCGGCUCGUGAAAGCCCGGGGCUCAACCCCGGAGGUGCGGCCGAAACACAUGGGCUGGAGGCCGGAAGAGGAGGGUGGAAUACCCAGUGUAGAGGUGAAAUUCGUAGAUAUUGGGUGGAACACCGGUGGCGAAAGCGGCUCUCUGGUCCGGUUCUGACGCUGAGGCGCGAAAGCGUGGGGAGCAAACAGG